UGUCAAAUAUCUUUGUACCCCUUGAAAGUCUCUGAGCCAAUCAAUUUGCUAUCCUUUUAACUUAGGGUAGCAGGUAGAGGAUGCGCUAGUGCAAUUCUUGCUUUAUUAGGAACUAAUUUUUACGCUGUUGACUUGAUGUGGAAUUUUUUUUAUUAUCUCUUCUCAUUGGCAAAUGCACUUCUGGAAGCAAUGUCCUUAAUCUAGGUUGGUGAUUCAGAGAACCAAUGUCGAUCUCAACGAAUAAGAAGUGAUUUUUACUUGGACACCUGAAAUAUUGCCAGUAACAUUUAGCUAGUCGCUGUGAUGUGUGAACUUCGAAGGUCAAGAAAGUGACCUGAGUGGGAUGCCAUGAUGGGCUUUAAAAACCUAAGGCCUUCAAAACUUCUACCAAGAAAAAGAUACACGCACCAAACUGAAUGGUUUUUAUGGCUCUGUAAUUUGAAUAGGCGAACUCCUGGCUGAUUUUGAAGCCUGAUGGCAUCUCACAUUGAAAAUACCGAUUCAGUAUGUUUAUGGCUGGGGCCAAAAUUUAUCUUUGGGAGUAUUCGUGUGAAGAGGCCAUACUCAAGUUUAAGCAAUGUCCGUUUCUCUCCAACAAUGAUGUCAAGUAUCUUAUUUAUUGCAUAAAUUCAUGUCACAGGCCUUCAACUCUUCUAUGAAAGAACUUAGAGAAUGCUAAAGCAAGUUUAGAAGUUCUUAUUGCUGAUCUACAAUUCUUAAGGUUACCAUCUAACUAUCACCCAGGUAAGACAGAGUUAUGUCAAAUUGGAGGUCCAUGUUACAUUUCAAUCCAUUUACUACAUCAGUUUUGGGUUACAGUUGCUCGUGUGUAUAAUUGUGAUUUUCGCCGAUGGAAGGUUUAUCAAGCUGCCGCAAAAGACUCGUAAAGGGAUCUUUUUUACUUGAAUCAUGUAUCAGAAUGUAUAUUCCUGAUGCAAGAAGUUGAAUGGGGUUCAUGCUGUGGUUCUCCAUUGGACCUAGGUUUUCUCGCAUGGACCCGGGCAUGUCGGUGGACAUCCUCCAAAGUCAAACGACAUUUGCAUCAUUCUAGGUUUGUGACAAUGUGUGAUCACUUUGAACGUUCUCAUGUGAGGGAGGGAAUAGAAUAUUUUGGGUUUUACACCAGCCUUUGACAAUUUGGGGCGGUGGGUUGUGUUGGGUGUUAAGGUACACAAUCGAAUACUGUGAAGUUGCUCCUACUUUCAUCCCAAAACUCUGUAUUUUGGACUGCCCUCCAAAUCGAGCUCUGCUCAGAUGAUCACCCUGAGUAUAUUCUCAACGAUUGUUGCAAUUAGAUAUCGCGUCGUACUGUCUGGCUUAUUACUUAUAAAUGUUUUUCUCA
Molecule: long non-coding RNA, 1342 nt
Organism: Rhodamnia argentea
Lineage: Eukaryota; Viridiplantae; Streptophyta; Magnoliopsida; Myrtales; Myrtaceae
Exons: 3
Source: RefSeq, a predicted model, not a curated record